ACGUGGGUGAUCUGCCCUGCACUUUGGGAUAAGCCUGGGAAACUGGGUCUAAUACCGAAUAGGACUACGCGAUGCAUGUCGUGUGGUGGAAAGCUUUUGCGGUGUGGGAUGGGCCCGCGGCCUAUCAGCUUGUUGGUGAGGUUACGGCUCACCAAGGCGACGACGGGUAGCCGGCCUGAGAGGGUGACCGGCCACACUGGGACUGAGAUACGGCCCAGACUCCUACGGGAGGCAGCAGUGGGGAAUAUUGCACAAUGGGCGCAAGCCUGAUGCAGCGACGCCGCGUGAGGGAUGACGGCCUUCGGGUUGUAAACCUCUUUCGCCAGGGACGAAGCGCAAGUGACGGUACCUGGAGAAGAAGGACCGGCCAACUACGUGCCAGCAGCCGCGGUAAUACGUAGGGUCCGAGCGUUGUCCGGAAUUACUGGGCGUAAAGAGCUCGUAGGUGGUUUGUCGCGUUGUUCGUGAAAACUCACAGCUCAACUGUGGGCGUGCGGGCGAUACGGGCAGACUGGAGUACUGCAGGGGAGACUGGAAUUCCUGGUGUAGCGGUGGAAUGCGCAGAUAUCAGGAGGAACACCGGUGGCGAAGGCGGGUCUCUGGGCAGUAACUGACGCUGAGGAGCGAAAGCGUGGGGAGCGAACAGGAUUAGAUACCCUGGUAGUCCACGCCGUAAACGGUGGGUACUAGGUGUGGGUUUCC
Molecule: ribosomal RNA, 702 nt
Filed under: Mycobacterium sp.
Lineage: Bacteria; Bacillati; Actinomycetota; Actinomycetes; Mycobacteriales; Mycobacteriaceae
Description: bacterial SSU rRNA
Rfam family: Bacterial small subunit ribosomal RNA
Source: RNAcentral